This 427-nucleotide ribosomal RNA is filed under the name uncultured bacterium. RNAcentral describes it as "bacterial SSU rRNA". It matches the Rfam family "Bacterial small subunit ribosomal RNA", at positions 917 to 1344 of the family's 1533-position model. The record is from RNAcentral.
GGGCCCGCACAAGCGGUGGAGCAUGUGGUUUAAUUCGAUGCAACGCGAAGAACCUUACCUACCCUUGACAUCCUGCGAAUCUGAUAGAGAUAUCGGAGUGCCUUCGGGAAUGCAGAGACAGGUGCUGCAUGGCUGUCGUCAGCUCGUGUUGUGAAAUGUUGGGUUAAGUCCCGUAACGAGCGCAACCCUUGUCCUUAGUUGCCAGCGAUUCGGUCGGGGACUCUAAGGAGACUGCCGGUGACAAACCGGAGGAAGGUGGGGACGACGUCAAGUCAUCAUGGCCCUUACGGGUAGGGCUACACACGUGCUACAAUGGUUGGUACAGAGGGAAGCGAGACCGCGAGGUGGAGCAAAUCUCAGAAAGCCAAUCGUAGUCCGGAUUGGAGUCUGCAACUCGACUCCAUGAAGUCGGAAUCGCUAGUAAUCG